CCUGGCUCAGGAUGAACGCUAGCGGCAGGCCUAAUACAUGCAAGUCGAACGGUAGAUCGGGUAGCAAUACUUGAUUGAGAGUGACGUAAGGGUGCGUAACACGUAUGCAAUCUACCCUCAACAGGAGUAUAGCUCGGGGAAACUCGGAUUAACACUUCAUAACAUUACGAUGUGGCAUCACAUUGUGAUUAAAAACUCCGGUGGUUGAGGAUGAGCAUGCGUCUGAUUAGUUAGUUGGAGGUGUAACGGACCCCCCAAGACGAUGAUCAGUAGGGGAACUGAGAGGUUGAUCCCCCACACUGGCACUGAGAUACGGGCCAGACUCCUACGGGAGGCAGCAGUAAGGAAUAUUGGUCAAUGGAGGAAACUCUGAACCAGCCAUCCCGCGUGCAGGAAGAAUGCCCUAUGGGUUGUAAACUGCUUUUAUCUGGGAAGAAAAGCCGGCAUUUAUGUUGGUCUGACGGUACCAGAGGAAUAAGCACCGGCUAACUCCGUG
RNAcentral lists this ribosomal RNA (496 nucleotides) under uncultured bacterium. Its description in RNAcentral is "bacterial SSU rRNA". It matches the Rfam family "Bacterial small subunit ribosomal RNA", at positions 18 to 507 of the family's 1533-position model. The record is from RNAcentral.